RNAcentral lists this ribosomal RNA (294 nucleotides) under uncultured bacterium. RNAcentral's name for it is "partial 16S ribosomal RNA". It matches the Rfam family "Bacterial small subunit ribosomal RNA", at positions 337 to 629 of the family's 1533-position model. The record is from RNAcentral.
ACCUACGGGGGGCAGCAGUGAGGAAUAUUGGUCAAUGGCCGCAGGGCUGAACCAGCCAAGUCGCGUGAGGGAUGACGGUCCUAUGGAUUGUAAACCUCUUUUGUCGGGGAGCAAAAGACGCCACGCGUGGCGUUCCGAGAGUACCCGAAGAAAAAGCAUCGGCUAACUCCGUGCCAGCAGCCGCGGUAAUACGGAGGAUGCGAGCGUUAUCCGGAUUUAUUGGGUUUAAAGGGUGCGCAGGCGGAAGAUCAAGUCAGCGGUAAAAUUGAGAGGCCCAACCUCUUCGCGCCGUUG